UCAAGUUAUUGUUACUAGUAUUAUUAUUAUUGAUAAAAUUUCUAAUAAUAUAUAUUAGACGAUGUGACUUUGGUCAGAUUGGUCAGAUUGAAAUUCAUAUAGGUUUUUUCAUUAUCUGAAGAAAUCUACUGAAUCAACGGAACUCCUACAGUCGAUAUGGCCGAUUAACUUUUUAAACGUAUGACGUUAGGGAAACAUCACGUUUAGAACCUUGAACGAUUUACAAAUGGCACACUUGUGAUGCUAUCGCUUUUAGAAGCUUUACAUUUUUGAAGUAUAACGUUUCUUAACAUGAACGUUCUUUAGACAUCACAUUUCUAGCAUAUACAUUUUAGGAUUAAGUAACGUUUAUGAAAACUAAUUUUCGUCUUUGUUAGGACUAAAUUGUGGCACACAUGUCCAUCGCUUGGCUUGAAUAAGGUUCACUAGUCACUUGACCAGUAGGCAUGAAAAAACUUUAAUU
Molecule: long non-coding RNA, 463 nt
Organism: Cotesia glomerata
Lineage: Eukaryota; Metazoa; Arthropoda; Insecta; Hymenoptera; Braconidae
Exons: 2
Source: RefSeq, a predicted model, not a curated record